CCCUUAGAUGUUCUGGGCUGCACGCGCGCUACACUGAUGCAUUCAACAAGUGUUACCUUGGCCGAGAGGUCUGGGAAAUCUUCUGAAUAUGCAUCGUGAUAGGGAUAGAUUAUUGCAAUUAUUAAUCUUGAACGAGGAAUUCCUAGUAAAUGCAGAUCAUCAUUCUGCGUUGAUUACGUCCCUGCCCUUUGUACACACCGCCCGUCGCUCCUACUGAUUGGGUGAUCCGGUGAGCCGUUCGGCCAUAGCAAUGUUUCUUGAGCAGGGCAAUGAAUGUUUCGCAAACCUUGCCACUUAGAGGAAGGAGAAGUCGUAACA
This 318-nucleotide ribosomal RNA is filed under the name uncultured eukaryote. RNAcentral's name for it is "partial 18S ribosomal RNA". It matches the Rfam family "Eukaryotic small subunit ribosomal RNA", at positions 1470 to 1796 of the family's 1831-position model. The record is from RNAcentral.